CACCUGGUGGAAGAGGGGUCCGAGAAGGACUGCUUGAUGUGGCUUUCUGAUUCCGAUUCUGAGCCUGAGGGAAGAACCACCAUCCUUCAUUCAUUCAUUCAGCAAAUAUUUGAGCACUUACCACGCGUCGGGCACUGAUUUACAGCACAGAGUGAAACUAAGUCCCUGCCCUUGCCUUGCUGAGCUUGUAUUCCAUCUUGGAAGGAGGAACAGACGAUAAUUAGCAAAAGUACAAUGACUGGCCCCAGACCCCGCUACUCCUCCUCUUAACCUACAUGAUCAGGGCGAGGCAGAGGAAAAGAAGAGCCGUGAUGCCAAUUCCCAGAAACGCUCCGUUGGAGAAUGCCGUUGAGAUGAGUCCCUUCUUAUCUGCACAUGGAGAGGGUCAGGAAACCCUGCCACACCCCGGCCCAGGUGUUAGGACUUCCCAUUGUGUUUUCCUGUCGACAUACAGAUGCCACGGGUCUCUUGUGUCCCUCCGAGCUCCUGCUUCAACCACAGGACCCUACUCUUUGCCCCACUCAGCUUCUCCUCCAAGACCCUCGGCAUUCAGGAGGCCCCCUA
Long non-coding RNA from Rhinopithecus roxellana (golden snub-nosed monkey), 564 nucleotides. RefSeq lists it as uncharacterized. The transcript has 3 exons. The record is from RefSeq and is a predicted model, not a curated record. Lineage: Eukaryota; Metazoa; Chordata; Mammalia; Primates; Cercopithecidae.